AGCAGUCGCCACGGUAACACGUAGGUGGCAAGCGUUGUCCGGAAUUAUUGGGCGUAAAGGGCUCGCAGGCGGUUUCUUAAGUCUGAUGUGAAAGCCCCCGGCUCAACCGGGGAGGGUCAUUGGAAACUGGGAAACUUGAGUGCAGAAGAGGAGAGUGGAAUUCCACGUGUAGCGGUGAAAUGCGUAGAGAUGUGGAGGAACACCAGUGGCGAAGGCGACUCUCUGGUCUGUAACUGACGCUGAGGAGCGAAAGCGUGGGGAGCGAACAGGAUUAGAUACCCGAGUAGUCCCUGUCUCUUAUAC
Molecule: ribosomal RNA, 303 nt
Filed under: uncultured bacterium
Lineage: Bacteria
Description: partial 16S ribosomal RNA
Rfam family: Bacterial small subunit ribosomal RNA
Source: RNAcentral